Molecule: ribosomal RNA, 496 nt
Filed under: uncultured bacterium
Lineage: Bacteria
Description: partial 16S ribosomal RNA
Rfam family: Bacterial small subunit ribosomal RNA
Source: RNAcentral
AUGCACGUUGGCGGCGUGCCUAAUACAUGCCAGUCGAGCGAACGGACGAGAAGCUUGCUUCUCUGAUGUUAGCGGCGGACGGGUGAGUAACACGUGGAUAACCUACCUAUAAGACUGGGAUAACUUCGGGAGACCGGAGCUAAUACCGGAUAAUAUUUUGAACCGCAUGGUUCAAAAGUGAAAGACGGUCUUGCUGUCACUUAUAGAUGGAUCCGCGCUGCAUUAGCUAGUUGGUAAGGUAACGGCUUACCAAGGCAACGAUGCAUAGCCGACCUGAGAGGGUGAUCGGCCACACUGGAACUGAGACACGGUCCAGACUCCUACGGGAGGCAGCAGUAGGGAAUCUUCCGCAAUGGGCGAAAGCCUGACGGAGCAACGCCGCGUGAGUGAUGAAGGUCUUCGGAUCGUAAAACUCUGUUAUUAGGGAAGAACAUAUGUGUAAGUAACUGUGCACAUCUUGACGGUACCUAAUCAGAAAGCCACGGCUAACUACGUG